This 241-nucleotide ribosomal RNA is filed under the name uncultured Pseudomonadales bacterium. RNAcentral's name for it is "partial 16S ribosomal RNA". It matches the Rfam family "Bacterial small subunit ribosomal RNA", at positions 563 to 802 of the family's 1533-position model. Lineage: Bacteria; Pseudomonadati; Pseudomonadota; Gammaproteobacteria; Pseudomonadales. The record is from RNAcentral.
AAGCGAGUGUAGGUGGCUCAUUAAGUCACAUGUGAAAUCCCCGGGCUUAACCUGGGAACUGCAUGUGAUACUGGUGGUGCUAGAAUAUGUGAGAGGGAAGUAGAAUUCCAGGUGUAGCGGUGAAAUGCGUAGAGAUCUGGAGGAAUACCGAUGGCGAAGGCAGCUUCCUGGCAUAAUAUUGACACUGAGAUUCGAAAGCGUGGGUAGCAAACAGGAUUAGAUACCCUGGUAGUCAAGGGCG